CCAGAGGGCCGGGCGGCCGCCGGCAUUUCUUCGGAAAUGCGGGAGGAAAGUCCGGGCUCCAGCGAGGAUCGGUGCCGGAUAACGUCCGGCGGGGGCGACCCCAGGGAAAGUGCCACAGAAAGCAAACCGCCAGUGCUUCGGCACGGUAAGGUCGAAAGGGUGCGGCAAGAGCGCACCGCGCGUCCGGCAACGGAAGCGGCAUGGUAAACCCCACCGGGAGCAAGACCGAAUAGGGGCGGCAUAUGGGAUUCCUCCUCCCCGUCGCCCGGGUUGGUUGCUUGAGCGGGCUGGCAACAGUCCGCCUAGAGGAAUGGUCGCCCAUCCCCGUGCUUCGGCAAGGGGUGGACAGAACCCGGCUUACAGGCCCUCUGGCAUU
The sequence is an RNase P RNA, 376 nucleotides long. It matches the Rfam family "Bacterial RNase P class A". From Rfam's summary of the family: Ribonuclease P (RNase P) is a ubiquitous endoribonuclease, found in archaea, bacteria and eukarya as well as chloroplasts and mitochondria.